GACAGAGGGGGCAAGCGUUGCUCGGAAUCACUGGGCGUAAAGGGCGCGUAGGCGGGAUGGCAAGUCGGUCGUGAAAUCCCUCGGCUCAACCGGGGAACUGCGUCCGAUACUGGUGGGCUCGAAUCCGGGAGAGGGAUGUGGAAUUCCAGGUGUAGCGGUGAAAUGCGUAGAUAUCUGGAGGAACACCGGUGGCGAAGGCGGCAUCCUGGACCGGUAUUGACGCUGAUGCGCGAAAGCCAGGGGAGCAAACGGG
This 253-nucleotide ribosomal RNA is filed under the name uncultured bacterium. RNAcentral's name for it is "partial 16S ribosomal RNA". It matches the Rfam family "Bacterial small subunit ribosomal RNA", at positions 524 to 776 of the family's 1533-position model. The record is from RNAcentral.